Molecule: ribosomal RNA, 253 nt
Filed under: uncultured bacterium
Lineage: Bacteria
Description: partial 16S ribosomal RNA
Rfam family: Bacterial small subunit ribosomal RNA
Source: RNAcentral
UACGAAGGGGGCUAGCGUUGUUCGGAAUCACUGGGCGUAAAGCGCACGUAGGCGGGUCGUUAAGUCGGGGGUGAAAUGCCAAGGCUCAACCUUGGAACUGCCUUCGAUACUGGCGAUCUCGAGUCCGGGAGAGGUGAGUGGAACUGCGAGUGUAGAGGUGAAAUUCGUAGAUAUUCGCAAGAACACCAGUGGCGAAGGCGGCUCACUGGCCCGGUACUGACGCUGAGGUGCGAAAGCGUGGGGAGCAAACAGG